This 432-nucleotide long non-coding RNA is filed under the name Homo sapiens (human). RNAcentral's name for it is "HSALNT0099532". Lineage: Eukaryota; Metazoa; Chordata; Mammalia; Primates; Hominidae. The record is from RNAcentral.
AUGGGAGAUAAGUUUGGCUUUAUAUCCAGCCCCCUGCCCCGAGGACUCCGUACACAUAUUUCACAAAUAGUUGUUUAUUGAUUUAUUUGUUGUUUUUGCCCCCCAACAAUCCAUGUUGUGCUCUUAGCAUUUCCCUCACCCCCAACGCCACCCUGCACAGAUGAGUGGCGAUGCGGUGGUCACAUUGCCCUCGUUUACAGUCUGAGAAGUGCACCUGCUCCUGAUUACCUUAAGUCACUUAAUAAUGUUUCUGGGCUUGUUUCUGUUUUAUGGUAAAAUGGGGAUCAGGAAAACAAAAGUAAGAAAAAAUGAUGCCCCCUCCCACAGUUAUUAUAAAGGUGAAAUAACGGUUAUAAAAAGGUAUUAACAUUCUGACAUACACACAUUUAUAGUUAUUUUUGGUUCAAUCCAAUAAAAACACUUUAGUUUUAA